CAGGUCUUGACAUCCUCUGACAACUCUAGAGAUAGAGCGUUCCCCUUCGGGGGACAGAGUGACAGGUGGUGCAUGGUUGUCGUCAGCUCGUGUCGUGAGAUGUUGGGUUAAGUCCCGCAACGAGCGCAACCCUUGAUCUUAGUUGCCAGCAUUUAGUUGGGCACUCUAAGGUGACUGCCGGUGACAAACCGGAGGAAGGUGGGGAUGACGUCAAAUCAUCAUGCCCCUUAUGACCUGGGCUACACACGUGCUACAAUGGAUGGUACAAAGGGCUGCAAGACCGCGAGGUCAAGCCAAUCCCAUAAAACCAUUCUCAGUUCGGAUUGUAGGCUGCAACUCGCCUACAUGAAGCUGGAAUCGCUAGUAAUCGCGGAUCAGCAUGCCGCGGUGAAUACGUUCCCGGGCCUUGUACACACCGCCCGUCACACCACGAGAGUUUGUAACACCCGAAGUCGGUGGAGUAACCGUAAGGAGCUAGCCGCCUAAGGUGGGACAGAUGAUUGGGGUG
RNAcentral lists this ribosomal RNA (508 nucleotides) under uncultured bacterium. RNAcentral describes it as "bacterial SSU rRNA". It matches the Rfam family "Bacterial small subunit ribosomal RNA", at positions 975 to 1482 of the family's 1533-position model. The record is from RNAcentral.